This 96-nucleotide ribosomal RNA is filed under the name Pleuropterus multiflorus (tuber fleeceflower). RNAcentral's name for it is "Fallopia multiflora partial 5.8S ribosomal RNA". It matches the Rfam family "5.8S ribosomal RNA", at positions 64 to 154 of the family's 154-position model. Rfam says of the family: 5.8S ribosomal RNA (5.8S rRNA) is a component of the large subunit of the eukaryotic ribosome. It is transcribed by RNA polymerase I as part of the 45S precursor that also contains 18S and 28S rRNA. Lineage: Eukaryota; Viridiplantae; Streptophyta; Magnoliopsida; Caryophyllales; Polygonaceae. The record is from RNAcentral.
GGUGUGAAUUGCAGAAUCCCGUGAAUCAUCGAUUCUUUGAACCCAAGUUGUGCCCGAAGCCCUCGUGGCCAGGGCACGUCUGUCUGGGCAUCAUGC